GAGUAACACGUGGGUGACCUGCCCAUCAGAGGGGGAUAACACUUGGAAACAGGUGCUAAUACCGCAUAAUAGUCGACACCGCAUGGUGUUGAUUUGAAAGACGCUUUCGGGUGUCACUGAUGGAUGGACCCGCGGUGCAUUAGCUAGUUGGUGAGGUAACGGCUCACCAAGGCGAUGAUGCAUAGCCGACCUGAGAGGGUGAUCGGCCACACUGGGACUGAGACACGGCCCAGACUCCUACGGGAGGCAGCAGUAGGGAAUCUUCGGCAAUGGACGAAAGUCUGACCGAGCAACGCCGCGUGAGUGAAGAAGGUUUUCGGAUCGUAAAACUCUGUUGUUAGAGAAGAACAAGUAGGAGAGUAACUGCUCUUACCUUGACGGUAUCUAACCAGAAAGCCACGGCUAACUACGUGCCAGCAGCCGCGGUAAUACGUAGGUGGCAAGCGUUGUCCGGAUUUAUUGGGCGUAAAGCGAGCGCAGGCGGUUUCUUAAGUCUGAUGUGAAAGCCCCCGGCUCAACCGGGGAGGGUCAUUGGAAACUGGGARACUUGAGUGCANAAGARGAGAGUGGAAUUCCNUGUGUAGCGGUGAAAUGCGUA
This 598-nucleotide ribosomal RNA is filed under the name uncultured bacterium. Its description in RNAcentral is "bacterial SSU rRNA". It matches the Rfam family "Bacterial small subunit ribosomal RNA", at positions 108 to 692 of the family's 1533-position model. The record is from RNAcentral.